CUCUUCCUUUCUUUCUUCUUUCCUUCUUUCCUUCUGUCUCUCAUUUUCUCUUUCCUUCUUUCCUUCUUUCUCAGGAUCUUGCUGUGUUGCCCAGGCAUGCAGUGGCAUGAUCACAGCUUAGUGCAGCCUUGACCUGUAAGACUCAAGCGAUCCUCCCCCAUCAGCCUCCUGAGUAGUGGGGACUACGGGUGCACGACAUUACACCUGAGUAAUUUUUUGAUUUUCUGUAGAGACAAGGUCUUGCUUUGUUACCCAGGCUUGUCUCCAAAGAGUUGGCAGUGAUUUUUCUUAUGGCUCAGGGUCAAAAAUAGAAGACAGUCAGGGGCCAAUAGAGAACAGAGAUGUUUCAAGCACCAACUGACCCCUCUUCAUGUACAGGGGUUGCAGG
This 388-nucleotide long non-coding RNA is filed under the name Homo sapiens (human). RNAcentral's name for it is "non-protein coding lnc-PPP1R3B-5:1". The record is from RNAcentral. Lineage: Eukaryota; Metazoa; Chordata; Mammalia; Primates; Hominidae.